GCCAGUGUGGUGUUGUGGUUGAGCAUUGGACUAUGAUUCUGGAGACUAGGGUUCGAUCCUCAGCUCUGUCA
This is a non-coding RNA of Phrynosoma platyrhinos (Desert horned lizard), 71 nucleotides long. The record is from the annotation of a GenBank genome assembly. Lineage: Eukaryota; Metazoa; Chordata; Lepidosauria; Squamata; Phrynosomatidae.